GCCUGGUCUAACUAAACGGAUAAGGGAGAGUAGCCAGGAAGCGCGCCAGCAGCAUCUCGCUGGCGCCUGAGGGUGUCGGUGCCGACCGCCGCAGGCGCGCGUGGAGACGGGCUGGGCGCCGCCGAGACGUGAGCGUUCGUGGCCAUUGGUCGCCGCUUCAGUCGGCCGCCGGAAGUUCAGUCGCGCAGGGGCCGAGCCGCGCGCAGCCGCCGUGGAUGCCUUAGGCGCUCGUGCCACAGGGCCGCGGGAAGCCGCGCUAGUGGAGCCGCUGCGUCGCGGCCGGCCCGCUGAUGCGUCAAGUGCUCGAGGCCUCCUUGCUGGUGCAUGGCUGAGGGCAGCCGAUGCGUGCGCUCCAGUGGCGACUGGCGAGAGCCCAAGGUACUAAUCAUGAUAGCGAGCAUGUAUAUACUAUAUAUAGGAAAAGAAGCACCUUAAUCAUGCAGCAAUUAGAUCAAUUCUUUGGUGUCUGCGUGAUGGGCACAGUUAGAAUGCUGUCCAGGGUGAUUGAUUUGCCCAUCGGACUUGUUCUUGUUGAUCUUGUGUCGUCACCGAUUAUUUCUUCUCCUUCUAUCCAAAAAUUUCUUCCGGUUCCUGUUUCCGCAGAGAUCAAUCGAUCUGGACAUGCUCACAAGCGAUUCCUUAUGCAUAAUUGAGAAUCAAUUAUUAGAUCACAGGAAGGCAAAAUUAUAUAGAUCUCCUGAUCGAUGAAGUUCUCCUAUGCAGGGAUGUAUCCAUGCCCAUGUGGAGCGGCGCGCUGUGCCGUGAGCGGCCAUUACCGUGGCCGGCCGCAUCUGGGGUAGAGCGGACGCAAGAGCCGUUCGUGGGGAUAACGACAGGCCCGAUGUCAUCGCUUCGGAGGGCCGGCCAGGGGCAUGGCCUCGAGCGCCGCCGAUCUGCAUGGAUGCAAGACGAGGGCCGCGUCGACCACCAGGGAGCAGCGCUGAAGGAGUGGUCGUCGCCGUCGCUGCUCUUUGCGUCGUCUCCGGCCUUUGUUCUCCGUGUCGCGCCGUGAGGCCGAUAGGAUCGCUCCGCCGGGAGCGUGGUGAUAACGUGUUUAAUGAAAACGAGAUGUAACUCAGUGAAUGAAUCAAGUGUAAUCUUUCCAUUGAUCAAUUGGAUUUACCCAAAUUCUUCCUGGUGCACGCGCCGCAAAACGGGCGGCCGGUCUUGCCC
This 1173-nucleotide long non-coding RNA is filed under the name Triticum aestivum (bread wheat). RNAcentral's name for it is "long non-coding RNA (TAES_LNC013751)". The record is from RNAcentral. Lineage: Eukaryota; Viridiplantae; Streptophyta; Magnoliopsida; Poales; Poaceae.